CCUGAGAGGUACUGAACUAAUGUAGCCAUGCUUUGUGUGUUCUAGCCCUGUUUGAAAGUUCUUUUUUGUCUAAGGAAAGGAAAACAAUUCUCAGAGAACUCAUCUAGAAUAACAUCCCUGUACUUUCUUAUGAGAAAGAGAAAGUUGCUUGUUGAAGCCUUUGGAGACAGAAGUUUUAAGGUGCUAAGAAAGAAAAGUAAAUACCAAGGAACACAAGUGCUGGUUCACAUGGUAACAAUAUGUUUAGAUUUGUAAGAGACUGUCAAACUGUCUCCCAAAGAGGCAGUACCAUUUUGCAUUCCCACCAGCAAUGAAUGAAGAGUUCCUGUUUCUCUGAUCCGUGGGGAUGCUCCUUGACUUACGAUAGGGCUAUGUCUGGACAAACCUAUGGGAUCACUCUUCUAUGCUGUGCUGGCCCAGACCCAGCCCUCUCCAGCCAGGAAACAUAAAAUACAGAAAGUCAUAAAACCCAGAAGUUUGAUUUGGUACCGUAAUGCCAUCACCCAUGGAGUGUAAGUACCAUAGGGUAAUGAGUUAGCUCUGCUCUAUUUGCUGUUGUAACCUGGACCAAGAAGAUGUAUGGCACACAGAUGAUGCAAUGAUGAAAGCUCUAAUCACUGGAAGAACAUCUGCCCAUCAUAGAGAGACAUUUGAAGAAGGCACAGGACCUCUGAUUUACUUUGAGAAAUUUGUCUUGUUUAACACAAGGGCUCCAGUGCCGUGGAGUUUUGCAUAUCAGCAUAACUUUAUGAAUGUACAUGGUAGAAUAUUUCUUAUCUGCUGGAAAAUACACAAUCACAAUGUUCAUUUAGAGUCUGAACUAGAGAAUAUACGUAUGUGUGUGGGUGUUAGGGAUAGAAGAUAUGUUUUCUUGGGCAUUAACCCUAUUAUUAUUAAUAAAAAA
RNAcentral lists this long non-coding RNA (904 nucleotides) under Macaca mulatta (Rhesus monkey). RNAcentral describes it as "lncRNA (ENSMMUG00000057934.1)". The record is from RNAcentral. Lineage: Eukaryota; Metazoa; Chordata; Mammalia; Primates; Cercopithecidae.